GGGGCUGUAGCUCAACUGGUAGAGCGCCGCCUUUGCAAGGCGGAGGUCACCGGUUCGAUCCCGGUCAGCUCCACCA
RNAcentral lists this transfer RNA (76 nucleotides) under uncultured bacterium 293. Its description in RNAcentral is "tRNA-Ala". It matches the Rfam family "tRNA". From Rfam's summary of the family: Transfer RNA (tRNA) molecules are approximately 80 nucleotides in length. Their secondary structure includes four short double-helical elements and three loops (D, anti-codon, and T loops). The record is from RNAcentral.